Molecule: long non-coding RNA, 1377 nt
Filed under: Monodelphis domestica (gray short-tailed opossum)
Lineage: Eukaryota; Metazoa; Chordata; Mammalia; Didelphimorphia; Didelphidae
Description: lncRNA (ENSMODG00000037866.1)
Source: RNAcentral
UCUGAACCCAACUCUCAGAGGCACCUGAACUUGGCCUAGAACUUCCUGGCACCGGGAACCCCUCCUUCCUAAAAUUCCAAGACUAUGACAAGUUCUCCCUGCUCACCCCACCCCUGGGCAAUGGUAUUGCCUCUUUCUCCUGUCACCCUCACCAAGAAUGUCUCAGGUGAUGGGCAGAGAAGGGAAGUAGCAUUCUGGGAAGCUGGGAGAAGUGGGCACUUGGCUUCUGUACUUAUUCUCUCCGAGCAACCCAGUAAACAGGGGUGGGCGCUAUUUUAGGGAAAUAAGAUCAAAUGUGGAUAUCAAUUCCCUUAGCUACUUUUGACUGUGUACUUCUAUCUAUUUUGGUGAAUGCCGAUGAUGGUAACACUACACAUUACUAAGCACUCUGGGCCUGAAAUUCAAUCAUGAGUUUGGCACUAGAAGAAUGAUUGUGAAUUCCUAUAGGAUAGAUGGUUGCCUAGCAACCAGAGUUUGAGGGCAAACACAGUAUCAGCUAGGGCACUAUAUACAAGGGAAUAAAUCACCGUUUGGUUGCCUUUGAAAAGUGUGAACUCCAGAAUCUUAUGAGCAUUUCAAGGGUCCCUCACUCUCCAAAUAUUUAUAAGUGUCAAGGAACAUGGCAGGCAAAAAAUGUGCCUGUGAACUACACAAGAAAGUGAUCUCUGAGAGGGAGAAUUGCAUUGCUCAGAUUCCACGACCACAAAAACCUUUAUAAAGGAAAUUCUAUAUAACAAAAAGAUUCUCAAAGCCCUGCUAAUGAUAGCCAAUGCUGGCCACCAAAUUCCAGGUCAACAGAAGAAUUCAGACAAUCCCACAGGGUUUAGUCAAAACAGGACUUGCCCUAUAAGAGCUGCACUUUUGUGGGGUGGAGGAGAAAAGUUGCUGGGAUGGUAUUUUUAUUCAAAAUCAUUGAAGUCCAGUGGCAGGGCAAAAGUCAACAUGACUGGUAAUGGCCCAGGAUGCAGCGAAUGAUUUUGGUGUCUUUGAUGUCUGACCAAGCUCUUAACUCUGCAUAGUGCCUGCUUCAGCCACCUUCAUGGCCCUUGGAACAAAUUGUUCUCAUAUGCCCAUUCCAACAGGUAAGUCUUCACAUGUUUGAGGUAGAUAUCCCUCUAGUCACUGAUGGGUUGGAGACCUGUUGUUUACCUUUACCCUGGUUUAGCCCAUCUGCCCAGAUGGUUUUACCCAGCUGUGACUACUGCACAUGCUACAGCUUCUUGGAGCCACAGGUAAGAGCUGGGGGGUAGGGGGACACUAAAGGUGGAUGCACAGCAAGCCCUCACACCAGAAGUGCUGGUCCUUCCAAUUACCCUGUAUACCUCCCUGUACCCUAAAGGCAAUAAAGAGUCACUAAGGAUUUUUUAGUAGAGUACA